AUGAAUAAAUUCGUGUUGAGGAAAGAUACUGCUACCAAUUCUGUUCAAUUAUAUAUCACCAAUGGCGAACAACCAGAUCAGACUGAGAAUGCAGUUGAGGAAAAUCGUGCCGAUGUUGAUGCCAAUCAGAACACCGGAAAUUUUAGUGGCCAUGGAAACAUAGAUGAGCAGGCUUCUUCUUUUGAUAUUUGUGAUCCUAGAACUUGGAAUAUUCUUUACAAUAAAUUAAGAGAUAUUCUCAUUGAGAAAGGACCUACAAGGGAGUAGAAUCUUGUGUUUCCUGUGGAUAAGAAAGGCAUGCAUUUUUCGCAUGCUUACUACUCAAGACAGCUAAGGAAUGGUGAGUAG
RNAcentral lists this ribosomal RNA (348 nucleotides) under Triticum aestivum (bread wheat). RNAcentral describes it as "partial small subunit ribosomal RNA". Lineage: Eukaryota; Viridiplantae; Streptophyta; Magnoliopsida; Poales; Poaceae. The record is from RNAcentral.